AUGCUCCUGGAACUGCAAAUCUCUCAGGAGGAGGCAGGAGGGGGUUCCAAUGCUGCGCAUAGAGAGGUCGGCUCAGUCCUCCCGCAAACAGCUGAGGAAUGGCAAAACUUGCUUCCAGAGCCGAUAAAAGCAUCCUCAAGGGAGCUGAUGGCUAAUAGGGUUGCUUCCAAAAGGAAACUCUUUCACCCAGAUGAUUGCAAACUAAAUCAAACAGAACUCCACAAGCACACUGCAUUUUCGAAGGUAACUGUGCUCAGAUGGAGGCUGAUCGGAAUGCUGUGGGAUACAGGAUUCAGAGGGAGAAAGACUUGAUUGAUUAGCAAUGCUGACUGUGGCUGCAACAGUAGAGAAUACAGGAAAUCAACAUCCCUAUUUUAGAUGUUGGUGCUGAAGAUACAUAGAAGAAAGCAUGAAUGCCCCCUGAUCUGACAAAGCAUACCGCUUAAAGGAGGAGAAACUUGUCACACAAUUUGUAAAAGGUCUAUGAUACGCAAAGGACUCAUGAGACUAUAGCCUUCCUAAAUUGGGCUGUGAAAGGAGGUCACUUUGACAAUAUUCGCAGUCUAUUUUGGAGGACAAAUGCAGUUAACUAGGUGAAGAAGGAGGAGGAUAAACUAUUCCAAGAGCACAGGUGGAAGAGGCAUAAAGUGCAGAAGAGCUCAUAGUGUGAAAAAGCAAAGGCAGGUGUUUUUUAUGACUCUAGAAAGUGGUGGACAGAAAUGGCUGGAGAUGAGGCUGGAGACUUAGGCAAAUGUCAGAUAAUGAAGAACAUUGAUGUUUACCCCAUGUGUUUGAACUUUAUCCUGCAGGUCCAGAGGAGCUGUUAUUUCAAACUGUGAAAUUUCUAAUGACUCGAGAAGGGCAAAAGUCAGCCAUCAAGAGGACGAUGAGGCAGUGGAAGACUGAGUAAUUCACAGCAAAUAUAUUCAACACCUGAAUAAUGUAGAGUGGCUACGUGUAAAGGCAAGGGAAGGAAAAGGAAUUAUUUAUAACAACCAUACCUUUGAAUGGAUUUAUUUUAGGUAUCUCUGGUACUAUCCUCUGGAGAUCAGCGGACAGUGUGGAGUUCUCAGAGAUUAGGGGACAUAACUCUUACUAGGGUCAAGAGGCAUGGUAGCCGACUGUGGAUUUCUGUAUUUUGCCCAGCCUCCGACAUAACUGAAACGCAAACCCUCUGGACUUAUGACCCAAGGUCUAUUCUGCAACCAGAAACAUUGUUAAAAUUCCCAGAGUCUAUUUGUUCUAUAAAAGAAAUUUACCACUUUAAAAGUCUGAAAGAACUCAGAAAGGAAAACAGCUGAGUCCUGAAAUAUGGUAUAGGUACCCUUCUCUGCUUUUUCUAUAAACGCUGUUAUCAUUUAUAACUCCAUGUUGUAAACGUCUGUUGGAAUGUAGUUCAACGCCAAUACAUUGCUGGGCUGUAUUUGUUUUUGGUUUUCUCUGAAAACUUUUGGCUAACAUCCUAGUUUGGUUUGAGGAAAAGCGUAAUAGUUAGAUUAAGAAGGAAAGUAAGGUAUACUUCACUCUAUCCAGACCUGUCAGUGUGUACAACUUAAUCCAUGUUCACUCAAUGUUUGCUGAGGUAGGGGUAAGAAGUUGGGUGAAAAUGGAUGGCUACACCUACUGGAAAAAUUAAGGGAGAGAAUUAAAAACAAAAAAGAAAACAAUGGCAUUAAAGGGAUUCAGAAUCAAA
Equus caballus (horse) is the source of this 1693-nucleotide non-coding RNA. NCBI's taxonomy places the organism in Eukaryota, Metazoa, Chordata, Mammalia, Perissodactyla, Equidae. The record is from RefSeq and is a predicted model, not a curated record.